RNAcentral lists this unclassified non-coding RNA (193 nucleotides) under uncultured fungus. RNAcentral describes it as "sequence contains ITS1, 5.8S rRNA gene". The record is from RNAcentral. Lineage: Eukaryota; Fungi.
GUAUUAUGUUUAUAGUUUUGACAUUCUGGACUUCUGUAGUAAAAUGUGUAAAGCGGAAGCGACGCGAACGCCGCAACCGAAAAGGUGCACAGGUGUGAGAGGUUUCGACAGCGUGCAGCCGAAGCGCACAGCUGAAGAGGUUAGGCCGAAGCCCGAAUCUAUAAUGAUCCUUCCGCAGGUUCACCUACGGAAA